This 85-nucleotide transfer RNA is filed under the name Nitrososphaerota archaeon. Its description in RNAcentral is "Thaumarchaeota archaeon tRNA-Leu". It matches the Rfam family "tRNA". From Rfam's summary of the family: Transfer RNA (tRNA) molecules are approximately 80 nucleotides in length. Their secondary structure includes four short double-helical elements and three loops (D, anti-codon, and T loops). RNAcentral also lists the same sequence under 1 other name. Lineage: Archaea; Thermoproteati; Nitrososphaerota. The record is from RNAcentral.
GCAGAGAUACCGAAGCCCGGUCAACCGAGAGGGACUCAAGAUCCCUUCCCUUAGGGGUUCGUGGGUUCAAAUCCCACUCUCUGCA